GAUGAACGCUGGCGGCGUGCCUAAUACAUGCAAGUCGAGCGAACAGACGAGGAGCUUGCUCCUCUGACGUUAGCGGCGGACGGGUGAGUAACACGUGGAUAACCUACCUAUAAGACUGGGAUAACUUCGGGAAACCGGAGCUAAUACCGGAUAACAUGUUGAACCGCAUGGUUCAACAGUGAAAGACGGUCUUGCUGUCACUUAUAGAUGGAUCCGCGCCGCAUUAGCUAGUUGGUAAGGUCACGGCUUACCAAGGCAAAGAUGCGUAGCCGACCUGAGAGGGUGAUCGGCCACACUGGAACUGAGACACGGUCCAGACUCCUACGGGAAGCAGCAGUAGGGAAUCGUCCGCAAUGGGCGAAAGCCUGACGGAGCAGCGCCGCGUGAGUGAAGAAGGUCUUCGGAUCGUAAAACUCUGUUAUUGGGGAAGAACAAAUGUGUAAGUAACUAUGCACGUCUUGACGGUACCUAAUAAGAAAGCCACGGCUAACUACGUG
This 497-nucleotide ribosomal RNA is filed under the name uncultured bacterium. RNAcentral describes it as "partial 16S ribosomal RNA". It matches the Rfam family "Bacterial small subunit ribosomal RNA", at positions 28 to 507 of the family's 1533-position model. The record is from RNAcentral.